Molecule: ribosomal RNA, 477 nt
Filed under: uncultured Rhodoferax sp.
Lineage: Bacteria; Pseudomonadati; Pseudomonadota; Betaproteobacteria; Burkholderiales; Comamonadaceae
Description: bacterial SSU rRNA
Rfam family: Bacterial small subunit ribosomal RNA
Source: RNAcentral
CAAAUGAAUUGACGGGACCGCACAAGCGGUGGAUGAUGUGGUUUAAUUCGAUGCAACGCGAAAACCUUACCCACCUUUGACAUGUACGGAACCCUUUAGAGAUAGAGGGGUGCUCGAAAGAGAGCCGUAACACAGGUGCUGCAUGGCUGUCGUCAGCUCGUGUCGUGAGAUGUUGGGUUAAGUCCCGCAACGAGCGCAACCCUUGUCAUUAGUUGCUACAUUCAGUUGGGCACUCUAAUGAGACUGCCGGUGACAAGCCGGAGGAAGGUGGGGAUGACGUCAAGUCCUCAUGGCCCUUAUAGGUGGGGCUACACACGUCAUACAAUGGCUGGUACAAAGGGUUGCCAACCCGCGAGGGGGAGCCAAUCCCAUAAAGCCAGUCGUAGUCCGGAUCGUAGUCUGCAACUCGACUACGUGAAGUCGGAAUCGCUAGUAAUCGUGGAUCAGAAUGUCACGGUGAAUACGUUCCCGGGUCUU